GGCUGCACGCAGCGCAACACGCCUCGUCCGCGCUGGACUCUCUCUGCACGCGCGUCAACGCGUGCGCGUCGUGCCAACUGCACACAGCGGGCGCGCAAGCAGAAGUUGCGAGGGUUCCCUGUUCAAAAUAAGCGCUGCCUGCCCUGUAUGCCCGCACCAGCCCCCGCCCAGCAAACCCCACCACACACCCACAGGCCACAGCAGCAACGGCUGGCUGGCCUCCCAUUUCUCAUUGGCAUUCGCGUCUUCUUUUGCGCUUGUCUCGAGAAAAUAAAAUAUAAAAGGAAAAGGGGGGAAAUAAAAAGAAGGAGAAACGAGGAAGAAAGAGAAAGGGGGAAAAAACAAGGAAAAGGAAUAAAGCAGACAGGCUCCGUCGAAGCAGAGAUCGCAGCAGCUGACACUAUUCCUUUGCCCCCCUAUUUAUUAUCCCUCCCCUCCCGACCUCCUUCCAAGCUCUCAUUAAAAUCAAGGAGAGGCCAGAGAGAUAGCAACCGGUAAGAGAGGGUGGCGUCGCCAGGGUUUCCUCCUCCUCCGCCGCUCGCUUAAUCCUUCUUUCCGAAUCGGAUGUCGUCGCCGCUCGCUGAUGCCGCUCCGCCGACUCCGGGGAGGAGGCGGCACGAGAGGAGAAAAAAGGUAUCAAAAUGAUGAUGAUCCCUACCGAAACCAUGUUCUCUUCAAGAGGAUGCUGGAUUAUCUAGUUCUUUGAUUAUAUUAGUCAAAUGCAUUAGAUAACCUCAUGCUUGGAGAGUUAGGGAAUGAAGCCAUUGGUCCGCCAGACAUCAUAUAUUUUGGGUCAUUAUAAUUGACAUCCUCAUAUUUCUCUUUCAGCUAAAUGACAUUCUCAUAUUCAGUCUGUCUCAUUUUUUUAAAAAAUUACUUGGUGUUUCUAAACGUACAAAUCUAUGUAAAGCUCUAGUAGGAUGAUGGCAAGUAGCAGCAAGUUACUUCAUUCAUGAGGAUUGAAGAAGUAGGUACAAUACUACAAUGGUACAAUUUUGCUCAGAAUUUAUCUCUAAAAGGAUGCAUGCUAUCUUAUCUAUGGUAAGUUAUUCUACUGGAAUUCACGUAAAGGAGAAAUAGAUUGGAUUUUUUUUACGGUUUUGAUUUUGCUUGAUAAUUAAUAGUAAUCAAUAAUCUUCUAGAUUUGAAAUAGUUUGUGAUAGUGAUUUAAAUCGUCAACUAAAUUUCCACAGCCUAGUAUCAUUUGUGACUUCAUGUUACUUUAGUCCCUUUCAUGUUACUUUACAAGGUGUUGUAGAAUUGUAUUGUAUUCCAUCCUCUUGGUUUUCAGUCUUGUUGAGUUAAAUGAUUUGAUAUUUCGGUGUCUGUGAAGCGUUGUUGCUCUUGUGCUUCUAACAUCUAUUAUUUUGAAAUGAUUGCGGAUUCUUCUCUUCCUUCUAAGGAUGAAAUUAUAUUAUAGUAAAUCAUUUACAUCUAUUCUGUUUGUAGUAAUUUAGUUUCUUUUUUCCCAAUCAAUACAAAAUCUUGAGCUUUCUUUUUUCAG
Molecule: long non-coding RNA, 1504 nt
Organism: Zingiber officinale
Lineage: Eukaryota; Viridiplantae; Streptophyta; Magnoliopsida; Zingiberales; Zingiberaceae
Exons: 2
Source: RefSeq, a predicted model, not a curated record